RNAcentral lists this ribosomal RNA (497 nucleotides) under uncultured bacterium. RNAcentral's name for it is "partial 16S ribosomal RNA". It matches the Rfam family "Bacterial small subunit ribosomal RNA", at positions 28 to 507 of the family's 1533-position model. The record is from RNAcentral.
GAUGAACGCUGGCGGCGUGCCUAAUACAUGCAAGUCGAGCGAACAGACGAGGAGCUUGCUCCUCUGACGUUAGCGGCGGACGGGUGAGUAACACGUGGAUAACCUACCUAUAAGACUGGGAUAACUUCGGGAAACCGGAGCUAAUACCGGAUAAUAUAUUGAACCGCAUGGUUCAAUAGUGAAAGACGGUUUUGCUGUAACUUAUAGAUGGAUCCGCGCCGCAUUAGCUAGUUGGUAAGGUAACGGCUUACCAAGGCAACGAUGCGUAGCCGACCUGAGAGGGUGAUCGGCCACACGGGAACGGAGACACGGUCCAGUCUCCUACGGGAGGCAGCAGUAGGGAAUCUUCGGCAAUGGGCGAAGGCUUGACGGAGCAACGCCGCGUGAGUGAUGAAGGUCUUCGGAUCGUAAAACUCUGUUAUUAGGGAAGAACAAAUGUGUAAGUAACUAUGCACGUCUUGACGGUACCUAAUCAGAAAGCCACGGCUAACUACGUG